RNAcentral lists this ribosomal RNA (254 nucleotides) under uncultured bacterium. RNAcentral's name for it is "partial 16S ribosomal RNA". It matches the Rfam family "Bacterial small subunit ribosomal RNA", at positions 524 to 776 of the family's 1533-position model. The record is from RNAcentral.
UACGUAGGGGCCUAGCGUUGUCCGGAAUUAUUGGGCGUAAAGAGCUCGUAGGCGGUUCGGCAAGUCGGAUGUGAAAUCUCCACGCUUAACGUGGAGGGGCCAUUCGAAACUGCUGUGACUCGAGUCCGGUAGGGGAGUGUGGAAUUCCCGGUGUAGCGGUGAAAUGCGCAGAUGUCGGGAGGAACACCAGUAGCGAAGGCGGGUCUCUGGGCCGAUACUGACGCUGAGGAGCGAAAGCGUGGGGAGCGAACAGG